Molecule: ribosomal RNA, 486 nt
Filed under: uncultured bacterium
Lineage: Bacteria
Description: partial 16S ribosomal RNA
Rfam family: Bacterial small subunit ribosomal RNA
Source: RNAcentral
GAUGAACGCUGGCGGCGUGCCUAAUACAUGCAAGUCGAACGCUGGAAAUCUAGCUUGCUAGAUUGAAGGAGUGGCGAACGGGUGAGUAAUACAUAAGCAACCUACCCACGAAGACUGGGAUAAUCUCUGGAAACGGGGACUAAUACCGGAUAGGUAAUCGGAAGGCAUCUUCUGAUUAUUAAAGGUUAAAACCACUGGUGGAUGGGCUUAUGGCGCAUUAGUUAGUUGGUGAGGUAACGGCCCACCAAGACGAUGAUGCGUAGCCGGCCUGAGAGGGUGAACGGCCACAUUGGGACUGAGACACGGCCCAGACUCCUACGGGAGGCAGUAGUAGGGAAUUUUCGGCAAUGGGGGAAACCCUGACCGAGCAACGCCGCGUGAGUGAUGACGGCCUUCGGGUUGUAAAGCUCUGUUGUAAGGGAAGAACGGUAGAUAGAGAAUAUCUAAAUGACGGUACCUUACCAGAAAGCCACGGCUAACUACGUG